This 337-nucleotide long non-coding RNA is filed under the name Phoenix dactylifera (date palm). RNAcentral's name for it is "long non-coding RNA (PDAC_LNC002071)". The record is from RNAcentral. Lineage: Eukaryota; Viridiplantae; Streptophyta; Magnoliopsida; Arecales; Arecaceae.
AAUGAGGGUUAGGGUUUUAGCCUCAGAGUUUUAGAGAUGGCAGAGGAGCUGCGGAGGAAGUUUGAGGGAAGGAAAUGGGUGGACUGGUGGAGUAGGAUAAUACACUAUGACAAUGGAUUAGGUUUUGGGCCGGACGCAGGCAUAAGCUCGAGUUGGGCUCAGGCCUAGAGUUUGAAAAACCAAAAAGUCAGGCCUAAGCCCGACCUGAAGUAUGAAACAAUUUUGGGUUAGUCUCAGGCAAGGGCAAGGCUCAACCCGGCUUGUCGUCAUCGUCGUCCCUACCACCUCUAAUGCCACCAUACCACUUUCUUCACCGUUGCUCUUGCAGCCACCAUCA